GUCGAACGAUGAACCACUUCGGUGGGGAUUAGUGGCGAACGGGUGAGUAACACGUGGGCAAUCUGCCCUUCACUCUGGGACAAGCCCUGGAAACGGGGUCUAAUACCGGAUAUGAGCCUGGGAGGCAUCUCCCGGGUUGUAAAGCUCCGGCGGUGAAGGAUGAGCCCGCGGCCUAUCAGCUUGUUGGUGAGGUAAUGGCUCACCAAGGCGACGACGGGUAGCCGGCCUGAGAGGGCGACCGGCCACACUGGGACUGAGACACGGCCCAGACUCCUACGGGAGGCAGCAGUGGGGAAUAUUGCACAAUGGGCGAAAGCCUGAUGCAGCGACGCCGCGUGAGGGAUGACGGCCUUCGGGUUGUAAACCUCUUUCAGCAGGGAAGAAGCGAGAGUGACGGUACCUGCAGAAGAAGCGCCGGCUAACUACGUGCCAGCAGCCGCGGUAAUACGUAGGGCGCAAGCGUUGUCCGGAAUUAUUGGGCGUAAAG
This 487-nucleotide ribosomal RNA is filed under the name Streptomyces sp. RNAcentral's name for it is "bacterial SSU rRNA". It matches the Rfam family "Bacterial small subunit ribosomal RNA", at positions 61 to 565 of the family's 1533-position model. The record is from RNAcentral. Lineage: Bacteria; Bacillati; Actinomycetota; Actinomycetes; Kitasatosporales; Streptomycetaceae.